GUGAGGAAUUUUCCGCAAUGGGCGAAAGCCUGACGGAGCAAUGCCGCGUGAAGGAUGAAGGCCUAUGGGUUGUAAACUUCUUUUCUCAGAAAAGAAUUAUGACGGUAUCUGAGGAAUAAGCAUCGGCUAACUCUGUGCCAGCAGCCGCGGUAAGACAGAGGAUGCAAGCGUUAUCCGGAAUGAUUGGGCGUAAAGCGUCUGUAGGUUGUUUAAAAAGUAUUCUGUCAAAGAUUAGGGCUUAACCCUAGAUAGGCAGAAUAAACUUUUAAGCUAGAGUUUGGUAGAGGCAGAGGGAAUUCCCGGUGGAGCGGUGAAAUGCGUAGAUAUCGGGAGGAACACCAAAGGCGAAGGCACUCUGCUAGGCCAAUACUAACACUGAGAGACGAAAGCGAGGGGAGCAAAUGGGAUUAGAUACCCGUGUAGUCC
This 426-nucleotide ribosomal RNA is filed under the name uncultured bacterium. Its description in RNAcentral is "bacterial SSU rRNA". It matches the Rfam family "Bacterial small subunit ribosomal RNA", at positions 354 to 796 of the family's 1533-position model. The record is from RNAcentral.